GUAAACUUAUGUUGAAACAUUUUUGAAAAAAAAAUAUUUAGGCACCCUAUUCAUUUUAAUUUAUUUAUUUCUCAUUUUUAUUUAUUUACCCUUAUGUAGAUUUUUCAAAACUGUGGAAUAUAACUUAGUUUUUUCUCUAUCGACUACCACUGUAGUACAAUUACAUCGGGAUCGAAGUCGGGCUCGAAAAGCAAUUUAUUUAAAAACAACACACCGCGCCGAAAUUCAAUUUUUUGGAGAGUUUCACGCAGCCAUGUUCAAUUUGAUCAUGAUGUUGUACGGGAGGAAGGGGCGAAAGAGAGUUACUCGAAAAGGAGAAGCAUGAUAAACUUUGGAUGGAAUUUAUGUUUUAACAGAAGAUGAAGACAUUUACGACCCUGUUUAGCGGUAGGAACAAUUUGCAGUGUGGACUGUGCCUGAGACGAUUCCCCAUAACGCCGGCUAUGUAGACAGCUUGUGAAAAUGGAAUCCAAAUGCUCACAAGAAAUGACAAAAGCAGUAUGAAGAUUAACACAACGAAAUUGUGCCAGAAAAGUUUGAAGUAGCUAUGGGAAUGAUCAACAUUGAACUUGCUGAGGCUCUCUUCCUGAAAGUGACUUGACCAGAUAUUUGGCUACCCAGUAUGAGUAUCUUUCUGCUACAUUAAAUAAAAUAUCGUGGAGGAACACGAAGAAAAGGGCUGCGCACCUCAACAUAUUCAAGGUCAAGCAGAGAAAAGGGCACCUCAACAUGUUCAAGGUCAAGCAGAAAUUAGGAGCUAGGUGUGCUUCUCCAGAGCUGAAAACUUCUUGGCAUGAAGAGAAGAAGAAGCAAGAAAAAGCAGUUUUAAAUAUUGAUUACGUCUUCAUAGUACAAAAAAUGAUUCUAAAGAUAAUACUAUCUAUGAAAUUAGAAAGCUGAAGUUGCGUUCUGAUGAAUGUGAGAAUGUCUUCAAAGAACAGGACACCAAAAGUGCCAUUCUCAAAUCAAAGCACUCUAAAAGGCAGAGCAUAAGAAGAACUAGGACAAAUAAAGAAUCUAAAAGAGUCAAACCUAUGGAUGUAUUAAUUGAACAGAGAUGGGCUAUUAGAGAUGAAAUAUCUGAGUUGCUACUGUUUUGCACAAAUUCAAUGUUAGAUAAGAAAAAUAUACCUAGUGUUGUAUUUUUGACAGUGAAAGUUUUUUCUUAUGCUUGAUUACAGAUUAAAACUGUUAUGUAUUUUAUUGUUUAAACAUUUAUUGGUUUGUUGUGUAAUCUGCAAUCACAUACAUUUUAAUCUUGAUUUAUAUAUCACAUAUAUGUACAAGUCUAACUUAAAUAAUAAGUGCAUGGACAUUAUUGUGGAAAAAAUAAGACAAUCAUGAUCAAGGGUAGUCUGAAAGAGCUUUGCUGGCAGUAAGUUGCAGAUCUUGAUACCCAAGUAAGAGAAAGGUGGCGUCUCUGACCGAUCCUUUUGCUGUUGCUUGUGGGCGAGUGAGGCUUCUCUGUCAGUGGCUUAGUGAGUCAUAGAUGUAAAAAAUAGAAUAGGCAAAUGAGGUAGAGACAUUUCUGAGUAAAAAAGGGGUGAAUUGUGAUUUUAAUAAAUAUUACAAUUGAUAUUGCAAGAGUAAUGAGAAUUGCAAGAGUAAAAUAUUAAUUUGUUUCCUUCCAUUUGAAGUAAGAGAGUUUAUGAAUUAUGAGUUAUGGAAUUGUAAUUAAGGCUUAAAAAAUUGUUAAAUAUACUUUUACAUAUGUUUAUACAGGACUUUUAUAUGUGCAUGUUUCAGAGCUCAUUUUUGAUAUUUUAAAGCAAAGUUGAAAAUAUCACUAUUGAAAUGUUUUGCAUUCCAAUGUAACGUUGAUUUAAUGAGGAUAUGUUAUAUUACAAUCAUCAAGCAAUAAACCUAGCAGUUGGAACAGAAAUGAGCUACAUGUAUUGUAAACAAAUUUAAGCUGCUAUUGUUUUGUGUAAUUGUGAUACUUUUUCCUUAAUUUGAAUUGACAUAACCAAAUGAUAUAAAGGGUUUUUUUGGGUCUUGUAUUUUUCACAGUCAACAUUAAGUAUUUUUCAAGUUGAACUUGGAUAAUUAGUGCAUGGACAUCUAUUGUUGAAAUACUUGGGAAACAAUAUAAGGGUGGUCUAAAAGAGCUUUGCUGGCAGUAAGUUGCAGAUCUUGAUACCCAAGCAAGAGAAAGGUGGUGUCUCUGACCGAUCCUUUUGCUGUUGCUUGUGGGCGAGUGAGGCUUCUCUGUUAGUGGCUUAGUGUGUCUUAUUAAAAUGUACAUGUAAAAAGAAUGGACAACUUUUAUUGGCAACUUUUAUUCUUUUUAUGCAAAGUAUGAUAUAAUUUAUUGUGGGAAAUUGAAAAGCCAUUUACAACCCAUGCAGAAGUUUUAAUAGGGGCAGUUUCAGUCAGAUUUUGCAGUCUUUUGGAGUCCAGAAUGACUACAUUUUUUACCUGUUGUGUUUUGAUUUAUUGCGGAUUUGAAUUUUACAUACAAUACUAUUCUUAUAUUAUUUAUAAUUACUUCAGUAUAUUACUUACUACUAGUAUGUAGAAAUUUACUCCAUUAUAAUUGAGCUACAAUCAUGAUUGUAAAUUUUUUAAUUCUGACUUUUAGGCCUAAAUUUGAAAUAUUUUGUACUUUGUUAGAACUCAUUGUUUGUACACUAUUGAGAUAACAUCUAAUAAAAUUGAAUGAGAAAUGGAUUUGUGUAAGAUUGUAAAAUACUUGCCAAAAAACCCACAAUUGUAAACCAUACAAAUUAUUGAUGGAAUAAAUGUAAAAUAAAAAUAUUAUGCAAUAAUAUAAUAAUGUUAAAUUUCAUCAAAUACAACCUUAAAUCUUAAUUAUAUGGGAAGGUUUAAUCCGUACAUUUUCAUCACAUAUACAAGAGAUUUAAUAUUAGUUUAUGAAAGAAUAAAAUUUGUACGUAUUAGUAAGUUUACAAUUCUCCGUAUAUAACUUAAUUUUUGGAAGUAUUAUAAAGUAAAGUGUGAAUUUAACAAAAAAUAAUGAGGUAAAGAUCUACGUUAAAUUUUAUUAAACGAACAAAUUUAAUGUGACCGUAAAACUUAAUUUUAUGGCCAUGUUUAAUAAUAAUUAUACGUUUUGUAUAUUAGAGGUAUAAUAAUUGUUUACGGCAGACUAAAAUCCGAACGUAUUAGUAAGUUUACAAUUUUCCAAACUUUAUUAAAUUUGUUCUUUUAAUUUUUCAUUAAACUCGUAUUAAAUGCUAAUUAUUUUCUAACAUUUACGAUCCCACAAUAUGUUAUAAUAUGCAUUUAAACAUUAAAUAAUCGCAGCAUUUAAAUCACAUUUAAGGUAAAAUUAAACCCGA
Molecule: long non-coding RNA, 3302 nt
Organism: Saccostrea cuccullata (small rock oyster)
Lineage: Eukaryota; Metazoa; Mollusca; Bivalvia; Ostreida; Ostreidae
Exons: 7
Source: RefSeq, a predicted model, not a curated record